RNAcentral lists this long non-coding RNA (418 nucleotides) under Sparus aurata (gilthead seabream). Its description in RNAcentral is "lncRNA (ENSSAUG00010014474.1)". The record is from RNAcentral. Lineage: Eukaryota; Metazoa; Chordata; Actinopteri; Spariformes; Sparidae.
GCACAAGUUGUUUGACUGACCUUCACUUAGCUGUUCCAACACAUCCUCAUACCCAAAACAGCCGUUGCACUGUACCAGCGACAGGCCCUUUGUUGUUUCUGUUAAAGGCUGUAUAGGUUCAGGCGUUCGAAGAACUUGGUUAGGUUUCGGGAAAUAAAUGGUUUGGAUUCCUUUGCUGCCAUAAUAAUUUUACAGCCACAACAGGACGUCGCCUUAGAACAAGUGAUUCAUAUGUUUUUCAUGGAUUCGUUGGAAGCAAGUUUAUAGUUUUUUGGCAGAACAUUCAGUCUGAGGAGGGUUGGGUGAAAGGGUUCACCUGCUUGACGUCUUCUUACAGAGGAUAUCUGUGUGUGUGACACUGAAGUCAAGGGCACAUCCAGGAAACAGGCCCUCUGUCCGACUAUCAUCCAUCACCAUU